RNAcentral lists this long non-coding RNA (442 nucleotides) under Heterocephalus glaber (naked mole-rat). Its description in RNAcentral is "lncRNA (ENSHGLG00100051529.1)". The record is from RNAcentral. Lineage: Eukaryota; Metazoa; Chordata; Mammalia; Rodentia; Bathyergidae.
CCCAGGCCUGGGAGGCGCUGGGCCUCAGGGAGGACUGCGCUCCACUGGAGCGCUGCCUUGAAGUUGGCCCGACCGGGGCACAGGCAGGAGUUGGAGCGAGUUCCUCAGAAAGAAAGUACCUCCUACCCAGGCAUGGUGUGCACACCUGUAAUCCCAGCACUCUGCGAGGCUGAAGCAGGAAGACUGAAAGUUCAAGAGCCUCAUGGAGACUGGGAAAGGAAUGUUUCUUCCCCAAGCUUAGCAGGCAGCCUGGCUGGGAGCCAUUUGGCAACAUCCCCAGCAGGAAAGUUGGGGAAGAAGCAACAGUACCACCCCCAAGAUGCUGCAGCAACAGACACAGAGACGGUCUGUCGGCUCCUGCCUGGGGGACCCCCAGCCCAGGUGCAUCCCCAAGAUGGGGAGGAGGAGCCCUCCUGCCUCAGUGACUGAGGAGCAAGCUCAC